UGGUUUUUCUGUUUCCCUUUACACCCUCUCUGAAGGUGUUAUACCAAAUCUGUCUUCCUCUCUCCCAAGAUCUAUGGCCCCAAGAGAUUGCUGUGCAAAUCAUCAAAGGGUUUGCUCAAAGCAAAUGUGGAUCAAACUGCUAAAUUAAUGGGAGACAGGCUUCUAGGACACUGUUUUGUCUACAUCUCCUGGAAAUGUCUUGGUUUUCAAAGGCAUUCCCUGGGUUUGCUUCUGUCGAAACGGCAAAUUAGUACAAUAAUGAAUUUCUCUGAAUACAAAAGUGUUGUCCUCCCAGGCUGGGAAUUGUUUUAAAGCUGGUAUUUUAUUGAUCUAGAUCAAUGCAGAAGAAAAUCAGUGACCUGAAAUGUGAGCAGAAGUUGCACAAAGCAGCCACUGCCUGGGGACCUGAAGUUACACUUUGCCUGCUGUGCCAUUUUUAUCUUGAUCCCUAAAAGUAAGCAAACAUUGCCAUUCCCACCAGGCCGUGUGUUCCCAGGCAAAGCCAAUGCUGGCACUGGCUCAAUAGCUGAGCUAAUGAGAAGAGAGCACCUGAGUAGCGUUCAGCCCUUCACCACCACCUGCUUGUGCCAGGAGACACCUUCUGUCUUCCUUUGCCCCUUGUCUUCCCCAAAUCUGCUUCAUUUGCUUCUUCCUGACUGUUUCCCUUCUGUCAGCCCCAUGCUCUGAGGUUGGAGAGCAAAGGCAUGUGAAUGCAUCUGCACAAGAAAACACAGAGGUCUUGUGGAACGCUUGUGGUCCUGUCUGUGUGUCCCUUGGCCUUUGUCCUGCACCAUCCUGCUGCAGUGGGUCAGCGCACCCUGCACAAUGGCUUUUUUCCUUUUCUGAAAUGGAGGGUUUGGAGGAUUAAAGCAGGAGAAGAUCUGCAGGCUGAGCAGGGGAAGUCCAGAGAAAAGUCAAGAGAAACCAUCCAGUCUCUACAAACUCAUCCCUGAGAAUGUUUAUCCCUGCUCCCUGCCGGGAACAUCAGCACCCUGCUUCUUUAUCCCUGACCUGAGAUGAGGAAACCUGUGACUGCUUCUAACCAUGCCAAGCUGAGAGGUCACUGUUCAUAUUGUUGUGUUGAGUAACCUUGUGAGACACUUUCAGUCUUAAAUAAAAGCAGUGUCUGGUAAAAACACUGGCAAA
Long non-coding RNA from Parus major (Great Tit), 1146 nucleotides. RefSeq lists it as uncharacterized. The record is from RefSeq and is a predicted model, not a curated record. The transcript has 4 exons. NCBI's taxonomy places the organism in Eukaryota, Metazoa, Chordata, Aves, Passeriformes, Paridae.